GGUGAGCAUGUUCCAUGAAUUUCUCCUGUAUAUAAGGCUAAUGCCUAUUCCUGGGUGACACUUUGAGGGAGCAGCAUUUAUUGUACUAUUUAAAUCUCCUCAAUCCAUUGAAUCCAAGGGAUGUUUGUGUAUAAAAUCCAAGUGGUAACCAGAAAUGUGAACAGUGCCGGGACCAUGGACUCCAUCUCAGUAAUCCUCAUUGGAUCUCAUGGAGAAAGUGCCAAACACAAACUGGAUAAUUGGGGACUAGAUUUCCAAGGCGGGGAUAUGGAUGAGUACACAGUGAGUAGUGAGGAAGACCUGGGAGAGAUCCUGCUGGUCCGGAUCAUUAAGGAACAGUACUUGUUCUUCCCAACAGAUACCUGGUUCUGUAGCUACAUCUCCGUGACCUGCCCCAAAGGAGAACUCUAUCACUUCCCAUACUAUAAAUGGAUUAAAGGCUUCGUGACUGUGGAUAUUCCCCAGGGGAAGGGGGCUUCGAUGGAUUUCCAUUUUUGGGGUAUUAAUGCUUUGGCCGAUUGCAUGAGGUGCAAGGUAAGUGGAUCUUUUAUCAGAUUUUUAUUAUCGUGGUGUAUAUUAAAUAAAAUGGAUUCUGGCCUAUCUAACGAAAAUCUAGAUUGCGUUACAAUACUGACAGUCGCUAAUACCUCUGUCCAGAAUGAUUGUAAAACAGGGCAUGUCAUCCACACAUGGGUAUGAUUCCCUUCAGCCAAAUCACACCUCCAACAGAGUCCCGAACUAUUAGGAUAUAUUUUUUUCAGUUUCAUAGUGCCAACGAGUAACCAACUUAUAAAUCGCUUCUCUUGUUUUGACCGCCUUAUUUGUCUUGUGUAUUACUUUAAGAAUGUCGUUCCACAUCAUAUCCGAAAAUACAAAAUUUAAUUCCUUAGUCCACUCCAAACGUUGACGAUUUGGGCCUGUGCCUAUUGCAUCAAUCAACAAUCUAUAUGUUUUGGAGAGUGGUUUGGUAAUCUCGAUUGCUGAGGAUGCCAACGAUUCCCAGCACGUUUCGGGUCUAUUCCAAUCUUUAGGACCAAAACCAAAAGUAAUCAAUGUUUUCUCAAGAAAGACCCAGGAUACCCUAUCAAAUGCCUUUUCAGCAUCUGUGGAGUGAAUCCGGCCUGGUCUGUAUGAAUAAGUUCGGGUGACUUCCCAUAGCCAUUAAUUUGCCACGCAGCACACAUUUAAUGGUUUCCCACAAUGUAACUGGAGAAAUAUCUGGUGUAUCGUUGGUCUGAAUUAUUGUUUCUAUCCAAGAC
This is an RNA transcript of Xenopus laevis (African clawed frog), 1259 nucleotides long. It is a transcript of the gene named arachidonate 12-lipoxygenase, 12R-type-like, with no coding region annotated. Lineage: Eukaryota; Metazoa; Chordata; Amphibia; Anura; Pipidae. The transcript is spliced from 6 exons. The record is from RefSeq and is a predicted model, not a curated record.